GAGUUGUAAGAUAAUUUUUUACUAUGGCAUUUCACAACACAUAUGGCCUGCACUUCUAAGGGUUAGGUUCAACAUUAUGUUGUUAAGUCUGGUAGCAAUCUUGAGUCCUGAUGAAUCAUACCUAUCUAAUUCACUAUUAUCUUCCUUUAUUAAACUAAAUAAAAAAAAUAAAAAUAAUAAAAAAAAGUGAAUUUAGUCAGGUACAUCGAAAAGGGCUACCUAUUGUCAAAGGUCAUCGGAAUUGUGAUGAUGAACCCGAGCAUAGGUCUGUAGGGGAGUCUUGAUGCCCAACACCUUAUGCCAUCUGGUGUGGGAGUUGUUGACUAAAUGCUCGCUACAUGGAGGAAUCAUUACAAAAGUAAAAGUACAUAAUUUAUUUAUAAAUACAAAAAAAAAAAUAAUAUUGACCUUGAAAAAGACGAUAGUGUGAAAGCCAUCGUAAAAAUUCAAGUAAACUGGAAUAUUACAGAUAAAGCCCAUGAGGUAUUAAAAUAAAUAUCCACAACUCUCGAAAUCCCGCAAGAUAGAAUGAUUUUGAAUCAGUGAUUAUGUCUUAUCUGACCAAUUCUUGGAAACUGCUAGCUUUAGCAGUAUUUUGGGGAAUCUAAAGUCUUAGCUUGUGUAUGGUCCAGAUAUCACCGAGCACCCAAGUAUAAAUGAGCCUUACAACUCCCUAAUGGAAACUUAAUAACUUCAACUUAAGUUGCAUACUAACCUAGGAUUUGGCUGACUUAGUAAUUAAAACUUUGUGUGCUUUUGAAAUUCUUAGCACUUAUGCAUUUGAAAUUAGAUUUUAUGAAAUAAUAAAAUAAACUCUUUGGGUAGAGACAACAGUUUGUGGGUAUCUGAACCGGAAAUCCUCACGAGACAAAACUCGUCCACUAGGGCCACCUAGGGGUUUAAAGCCUUAUUGCAUACGGUAAAUGCAAUCGCGAUUCCUGCGAAAGUGAGUUUUUUUUAUUUUGCUCGAGAACUAGCAAAAUGUAGGUUGGGGGGUGUGAUAAAUGCUAAAUAAUGUAUAAAUAAAUCUAUUUUACAUAGCACUUAUUAGUAUUUUUAUAUAUAUACUUUAUGUUUAAACAUGAGAAAAUAUGUUCACCUUCAUCAAUGCAUUUUAAUUCGAUUUUGAUUAUUGAUUAAGCCUAAUGUAUGCAGGUCGAGUCAAGCUCAAUAAGAUAAAGCCUAAACCUACACUGCAUCAUUUCAUAAUUCCACAUCCUCCGGAGUCGACUCCAAGAACUCUCCUCCAAAACCCAGUGCUUCCCAUUAAUUCUUGUCUCUUCACAAGUUCCCCUAAUUCUCUUCCCACACUUUUCAAUCAUUUAUUUCUCAGAUCUCAAAGUAUAUCAUCUAUUCAUCUAUAGUUGCACAGAUCUCAAAAAAUUCUAGUCUUUAGCCUCUUCCCAGCCGAAUAGGAUUAAUUCCCCUGCUUCAAACAGUUCAAUUCCCAUCUUCCAACCAAGCCAAAUCAAAUCCACGAAUUAUCUCCCUUGCUCUACAUUCGCAUGGGAUCACCCGUCCAAAGAACCCCCUGUUUCUCCGAGCAAAUCCUUCUCCCCGAGCAUCACGGAAGAGCUCGCUAUCCGCAUCCCUUGCAUCCGCAACAAUCCCACGCUCAUCCCGAA
RNAcentral lists this long non-coding RNA (1625 nucleotides) under Phoenix dactylifera (date palm). Its description in RNAcentral is "long non-coding RNA (PDAC_LNC014090)". Lineage: Eukaryota; Viridiplantae; Streptophyta; Magnoliopsida; Arecales; Arecaceae. The record is from RNAcentral.